GGAAGUGAGAGCAAGCUGGCUGCCCCAUCUGUCACCCAGGGGUGGUCCGGAUCUCUUAGAUGGGUUUCCCUGGCCAGGCAGGCAUCCCCCCGCACCCCCCCACAUCACCCUACGGGCCUCCUUCCUGAGCUGCGCUGGUGGAAGAGGAAGACUUCUCCUGAGUGAGAAAAGAAGAGGCCUCUGGCUGCUUAGGACUGGUCUUCAGUCAAGAGUGUAGCAAUAGUUGUGCUUCUGGCUAGGAGAAAGUUAGUAACUGUCUUCAUCAUGGUGAGAAAGCUUGUUUUUAAUUUUUAAAAUUUAAAGAACGUACCGUACCGUACAGUGUUGACAUAAUAUUUAUUU
This 342-nucleotide small RNA is filed under the name Erinaceus europaeus (western European hedgehog). RNAcentral describes it as "7SK RNA (ENSEEUG00000023225.1)". Lineage: Eukaryota; Metazoa; Chordata; Mammalia; Eulipotyphla; Erinaceidae. The record is from RNAcentral.